This 254-nucleotide ribosomal RNA is filed under the name uncultured prokaryote. RNAcentral's name for it is "partial 16S ribosomal RNA". It matches the Rfam family "Bacterial small subunit ribosomal RNA", at positions 525 to 777 of the family's 1533-position model. The record is from RNAcentral.
ACGUAGGACCCAAGCGUUAUCCGGAUUGACUGGGCGUAAAGAGUUGCGUAGGUGGUUUGUUAAGCGAAUAGUGAAAUCUUGUGGCUCAACCAUGAGGCUAUUAUUCGAACUGGCAAACUCGAGAACAGGAGAGGUAUCUGGAAUUCCCAGUGUAGGAGUGAAAUCCGUAGAUAUUGGGAGGAACACCAAUGGCGUAGGCAGGAUACUGGACUGUUUCUGACACUAAGGCACGAAAGCGUGGGGAGCGAACUGGA